UUGAAAUAUUCCCCAUGAAGAUGGACAAAUCGGAGCCUUGGGCAGUGGGCAGUGGUUCUAGCAGAAGGCAGAGAGCAAGAGGCGCUGGGAGAAGGGAGAAGCAUGGCGAUCGAGUGUGAAGGAGUACGGUGCGGUCGCUGGAAUGGUUUCAGUGCAGGCGAUCAUCGCCAACAUGUUGCUCCUCUCCCGCUACCUUCACCCAAGGCAUGAGCUUCUACGCCUUAGUCUUGUACCGCCAGAUGAUCGCAACCCUCGUCAUCGCUCCUAUUGUUCCUACCUCAUCAGAAGGAGGAGGCCUUGCGUUCGGUGGAAGAAUGUGAAGCAGAUCUUUCUACUAGCGUUGACGGCGUGAGUGUUAAUUGCCAAGUAGACCUUGCAUGCAUUCUGCUCAUUGAUGUAGGCUUUAUCUAAAUUCAAGAUGUAUCUAAGUUUUAAUUA
Zingiber officinale is the source of this 438-nucleotide long non-coding RNA. RefSeq lists it as uncharacterized. The transcript has 2 exons. NCBI's taxonomy places the organism in Eukaryota, Viridiplantae, Streptophyta, Magnoliopsida, Zingiberales, Zingiberaceae. The record is from RefSeq and is a predicted model, not a curated record.